UUGUGGUUUCCUAUAUCCUAUCCGCCGAUUUUGACGUUUGCUUUGAUAGGUGUUGUCAUCCAAAUUUGCAAUCCUAAACAUUUCUAGGAUUUGUUACAAAAAAUAUCUAUUUUCUUCCAAAUGUGGAAGAAUAUUACUGUACUAUAGGACAUUUUGUGAAAGAUGACGUCGGCGAAUUGUUCUCACGCUCCAGGAGCAGUGAUAGCAGUGAUUUGGAGGACCUCAUGAUCAUCAAAUGAUCAUGUCGAGUUCGCGCUCGGAAUUUCUGUAGAACAUUUGGAGUUUGGGAACGAACUCUAUCUGCAGAAUUAUGAGAAUUGAAGAAGUUCCUUCAGAAAGGUGCCAGCUGGGGACUAUUAUUGUGGAAAGGUGGCCUGAAGACAUUGCUCAAAGGACAGACCUGACAAAUAAUUAUUUUAGAAAGGUUUUGAUAAAUAAAACAUUUUUCCAUAUACUUAAA
Long non-coding RNA from Ostrinia nubilalis (European corn borer), 460 nucleotides. RefSeq lists it as uncharacterized. Lineage: Eukaryota; Metazoa; Arthropoda; Insecta; Lepidoptera; Crambidae. The record is from RefSeq and is a predicted model, not a curated record. The transcript has 2 exons.